Long non-coding RNA from Mirounga angustirostris (Northern elephant seal), 542 nucleotides. RefSeq lists it as uncharacterized. The transcript has 2 exons. The record is from RefSeq and is a predicted model, not a curated record. NCBI's taxonomy places the organism in Eukaryota, Metazoa, Chordata, Mammalia, Carnivora, Phocidae.
UCAAGAUGAAUCCUUGGACAAAUUAGACUGGUUUUAUAAUUUUGGUUUAAAACAACUAUGUGGGUAUAAGAUAAUAGGAAGUUAUAGUGUCUGGAAAAAUUAGGUUAUUUACUGAUGAUGCAAAGCUCACUUAAACUUUACUAAAUUUCCUGGUCUGGUUUUAUGGGUCAGGUAAGUUAUUUUUCUUGAACUCUUUUUUUUUUGAGUAGUCUUCACACCCAGCAGGGGCCUCACAUGGGACUUGAACUCACGACCCUGAGAUCAUGACCUGAGCUGAAAUCAAGAGUCAGACGCUUAACCGACUGAAGUACCCAGGAGCCCCAGGCUGUUUAUAUACAGAAGUCGUGCUGUUACCGUUGCUGUGUUUGAGCAGCUUUGCCGGUUUCUGUUGAAGCGAAGGACUGGCGUAGUCUUGUCCACAGACGAGCUUCAUUUCUGUUUCCGCGCUCUUGCUGGGCAGUCAGGACACCACGGGGCCAACUAAAAGCGCCUGGUAGUUUUUAGUGUCCUCCCAGCCCGUUAAGUGUUGUAAUGCUCAGAGU